RNAcentral lists this long non-coding RNA (350 nucleotides) under Junco hyemalis (dark-eyed junco). Its description in RNAcentral is "lncRNA (ENSJHYG00000001703.1)". The record is from RNAcentral. Lineage: Eukaryota; Metazoa; Chordata; Aves; Passeriformes; Passerellidae.
UUAUCUUUUCUUGGUCAUCUUUCACAGACCUCAGGAUUCUUCAUGGUGCCCACUGCAUGUAGAGAUCCAGCACAAAAUCACUGUUGGAUAGCUCAUCCCAGAGGAAUCUCAGAAUGAGAAAAUAGUGAAAAUCAAGUAUAGAACUUGCAACGCCUGGCAGGCAGAGAAAGAAUUGCAUUUGCCAACAGGAUUGCAGUUCCAAUACAGAAGAUGUUAAACUAUGAGUGCCCUGGUAAAUUAACAACUUUACACUUACUGGAAUAGCCAUGAAAGAGUGUUUGACGUUCAUGCAGUUCUGCAGAGAAGGCGGUGCCGCCAGCCUGGGCUGCUGCAAUCCGUGUAAUCCUUGA